RNAcentral lists this transfer RNA (64 nucleotides) under Hylica paradoxa. RNAcentral's name for it is "tRNA-Arg". The record is from RNAcentral. Lineage: Eukaryota; Metazoa; Arthropoda; Insecta; Hemiptera; Cicadellidae.
UAGUAAAGAAGUAAUACUACAUUCAGUUUCGACCUGACAUAAAUGAUAAAUUUCAUCAUACUAA